UGGGGAAUAUUGCACAAUGGGGGAAACCCUGAUGCAGCAACGCCGCGUGAGUGAUGACGGUCUUCGGAUUGUAAAGCUCUGUCUUCAGGGACGAUAAUGACGGUACCUGAGGAGGAAGCCACGGCUAACUACGUGCCAGUAGCCGCGGUAAUACGUAGGUGGCAAGCGUUGUCCGGAUUUACUGGGCGUAAAGGGAGCGUAGGUGGAUAUUUAAGUGGGAUGUGAAAUACUCGGGCUUAACCUGGGUGCUGCAUUCCAAACUGGAUAUCUAGAGUGCAGGAGAGGAAAGUAGAAUUCCUAGUGUAGCGGUGAAAUGCGUAGAGAUUAGGAAGAAUACCAGUGGCGAAGGCGACUUUCUGGACUGUAACUGACACUGAGGCUCGAAAGCGUGGGGAGCAAACA
Molecule: ribosomal RNA, 402 nt
Filed under: uncultured bacterium
Lineage: Bacteria
Description: bacterial SSU rRNA
Rfam family: Bacterial small subunit ribosomal RNA
Source: RNAcentral